UGCAAGUCGAACGAAGGCUUCGGCCUUAGUGGCGCACGGGUGCGUAACGCGUGGGAAUCUGCCCCUUGGUUCGGAAUAACAGUUAGAAAUGACUGCUAAUACCGGAUGAUGACGAAAGUCCAAAGAUUUAUCGCCGAGGGAUGAGCCCGCGUAGGAUUAGCUAGUUGGUGGGGUAAUGGCCCACCAAGGCGACGAUCCUUAGCUGGUCUGAGAGGAUGAUCAGCCACACUGGGACUGAGACACGGCCCAGACUCCUACGGGAGGCAGCAGUGGGGAAUAUUGGACAAUGGGCGAAAGCCUGAUCCAGCAAUGCCGCGUGAGUGAUGAAGGCCUUAGGGUUGUAAAGCUCUUUUACCCGGGAUGAUAAUGACAGUACCGGGAGAAUAAGCUCCGGCUAACUCCGUGCCAGCAGCCGCGGUAAUACGGAGGGAGCUAGCGUUGUUCGGAAUUACUGGGCGUAAAGCGCACGUAGGCGGCUACUCAAGUCAGAGGUGAAAGCCCGGGGCUCAACCCCGGAACUGCCUUUGAAACUAGGUAGCUAGAAUCUUGGAGAGGUCAGUGGAAUUCCGAGUGUAGAGGUGAAAUUCGUAGAUAUUCGGAAGAACACCAGUGGCGAAGGCGACUGACUGGACAAGUAUUGACGCUGAGGUGCGAAAGCGGGGGGAGCAAACAGGAUUAGAUACCCUGGUAGUCCACGCCG
This 700-nucleotide ribosomal RNA is filed under the name uncultured Alphaproteobacteria bacterium. RNAcentral's name for it is "bacterial SSU rRNA". It matches the Rfam family "Bacterial small subunit ribosomal RNA", at positions 56 to 802 of the family's 1533-position model. The record is from RNAcentral. Lineage: Bacteria; Pseudomonadati; Pseudomonadota; Alphaproteobacteria.